GAUUCCAGCGUCAAAAGGUCAAUCCGCACGUCGUGCUUGCACGUAAGUGGGACUUGACAUUGGGACGCGCCCCGAUAUGAGUAUGAAGUGGUGCGUAAGCACCAUGAAAAUACGAAUAUCGGGCAGGAUUGUGGGAGCACGAAGUGCGGAGCAAUCCGU
RNAcentral lists this small RNA (159 nucleotides) under uncultured Blautia sp. RNAcentral's name for it is "Clostridiales-1 RNA". It matches the Rfam family "Clostridiales-1 RNA". Lineage: Bacteria; Bacillati; Bacillota; Clostridia; Lachnospirales; Lachnospiraceae. The record is from RNAcentral.